UGAAGCGGAUCUUGUGACGUACGUAAAAUCUCGUACUUUUACACAUUGUUGUGUCUCUGAUACUUACGUGAAAAUAACAAUGGCUAAACGACAAAAAUCUGGGGAUCUUGGGCUUUCGACAAUUUCUGGAAAUGUGGAUCAUAAAGACAAUGUUGAUGCCAAGGAUGUAGAGUUAGAAGAAAAAUCAAACUAUUAUGGCCAGGGAGAAGUUCUGCCACUGACUGAAGAAGAGAAAAUUAAACGUUUUGUACUCAUUGCUUUCCCUGUCGUGUUCUUUAUCAUUGCGGUAAUAUUAGCAGCCGUUUACAACUGACGUGUAAAUACAUUUUAACGGAAGACGCAAAUUGUGCCUCGGAUGCUUGGAAAAACACAAUGGCAGAGGCCUGUGCAAUGUUCUAUUUAGAAAAAAAAAAUCUCUGUGUUUUGAGGGUGUUUUUUUUCUCUCGUUCUUAAUUAGAAAAAAAUAAUGUAUAUCUAUUUUAAGGGGAAUCUUUGCAUUACAAAAUAUUUUUUGUCAUAAUUAUGUCUCGUUAGUAAAUGGUGACAUACUAACUAAAAUGUAUCACAAAUGUAUGUUUAUGAUUCUAAGCUUUUUUUUUACUGUAUUAUAAUAAAAAUCAGAAUUAAACAAGUUUUACGAUUUUUAUAA
Mytilus californianus (California mussel) is the source of this 649-nucleotide long non-coding RNA. RefSeq lists it as uncharacterized. The record is from RefSeq and is a predicted model, not a curated record. The transcript is spliced from 2 exons. Lineage: Eukaryota; Metazoa; Mollusca; Bivalvia; Mytilida; Mytilidae.